RNAcentral lists this unclassified non-coding RNA (407 nucleotides) under Zea mays. Its description in RNAcentral is "misc RNA Zm00001eb075860". Lineage: Eukaryota; Viridiplantae; Streptophyta; Magnoliopsida; Poales; Poaceae. The record is from RNAcentral.
UUGGAUGAUGGUUUGGUUAUGAAGGACAAUCUUCCCCAAAAUUGGAACGAAAGAUAUAGAGUUGAGAAAGAAUUAGAGCAUGUGUAUCAUAUGGAAGAAGUGUAUUGGCAACAACGGGCCGGAAAAAACUGGAUUCUCAAAGGUGACUCUAAUUCUAGUUUUUCCACCUGUUUGCUAACGGUAGGAGGAGGAAAAAUAAUAUUCUACAGUUGGUGGCAGAUUCUUGUACCUUGGUGGACCAGAAAGAUAUUAGCAAUCACGUGGUUGAUUUUUAUAAACAGCUUUUUGGACCAUCUACUCCUUGUGCGAUGAAGUUACGCGAGAAUUUCUGGGAAGGUAGAAGUGAAUUAUCAAUUGAGGAGGCCAUUCACCUGAUUAGGCCUUUUGAUGAAGAGGAGAUAAAACAG